Molecule: transfer RNA, 77 nt
Filed under: Angiostrongylus costaricensis
Lineage: Eukaryota; Metazoa; Nematoda; Chromadorea; Rhabditida; Metastrongylidae
Rfam family: tRNA
About the family: Transfer RNA (tRNA) molecules are approximately 80 nucleotides in length. Their secondary structure includes four short double-helical elements and three loops (D, anti-codon, and T loops).
Source: Rfam by way of RNAcentral
CCGUCGAUAGCUCAGUUGGUAGAGCGGAGGACUGUAGAGNAAUCCUUAGGUCGCUGGUUCGAAUCCGGCUCGACGGA